GUUCUUAUCGUCUAAUGGUUAGGACACUACUCUUUCACAGUAGGAAUACGGGUUCAAAUCCCGUUGAGAAUA
This 72-nucleotide transfer RNA is filed under the name Cylindrotheca closterium. Its description in RNAcentral is "tRNA-Glu". It matches the Rfam family "tRNA". From Rfam's summary of the family: Transfer RNA (tRNA) molecules are approximately 80 nucleotides in length. Their secondary structure includes four short double-helical elements and three loops (D, anti-codon, and T loops). Further hydrogen bonds mediate the characteristic L-shaped molecular structure. tRNAs have two regions of fundamental functional importance: the anti-codon, which is responsible for specific mRNA codon recognition, and the 3' end, to which the tRNAs corresponding amino acid is attached (by aminoacyl-tRNA synthetases). tRNAs cope with the degeneracy of the genetic code in two manners: having more than one tRNA (with a specific anti-codon) for a particular amino acid; and 'wobble' base-pairing, i.e. permitting non-standard base-pairing at the 3rd anti-codon position. Lineage: Eukaryota; Bacillariophyta; Bacillariophyceae; Bacillariales; Bacillariaceae. The record is from RNAcentral.